RNAcentral lists this long non-coding RNA (247 nucleotides) under Elaeis guineensis (African oil palm). RNAcentral's name for it is "long non-coding RNA (EGUI_LNC072031)". Lineage: Eukaryota; Viridiplantae; Streptophyta; Magnoliopsida; Arecales; Arecaceae. The record is from RNAcentral.
CCCUCCGACCGGGCUAGCACUCCCUCACCCGGUCGUUUCUACCUGUAUCAGGAGGCCUUCCGUGUCGGACUCUGGUUUUUGCUUCCGCCCUUUGUCGUCGCCCUUUUCCGCUUCUUAGAUAUCUCUUUAGCUUCAGUUGCUCCGAAUUCCUUUAGGUUUUUGAUAGGGUUCCUCUCCCUUUGCCACGUAGUCGAAGUUCAGCCAUCCCUUUCUUUGUUUAGGUAUUUUUAUAUCUUCAAGCGUCACC